UGGGGAAUCUUGCGCAAUGGGCGAAAGCCUGACGCAGCCAUGCCGCGUGAAUGAUGAAGGUCUUAGGAUUGUAAAAUUCUUUCACCGGGGACGAUAAUGACGGUACCCGGAGAAGAAGCCCCGGCUAACUUCGUGCCAGCAGCCGCGGUAAUACGAAGGGGGCUAGCGUUGCUCGGAAUUACUGGGCGUAAAGGGAGCGUAGGCGGAUAGUUUAGUCAGAGGUGAAAGCCCAGGGCUCAACCUUGGAAUUGCCUUUGAUACUGGCUAUCUUGAGUACGGAAGAGGUAUGUGGAACUCCGAGUGUAGAGGUGAAAUUCGUAGAUAUUCGGAAGAACACCAGUGGCGAAGGCGACAUACUGGUCCGUUACUGACGCUGAGGCUCGAAAGCGUGGGGAGCAAACAGG
Molecule: ribosomal RNA, 404 nt
Filed under: Microvirga ossetica
Lineage: Bacteria; Pseudomonadati; Pseudomonadota; Alphaproteobacteria; Hyphomicrobiales; Methylobacteriaceae
Also listed under: 1 other name
Description: partial 16S ribosomal RNA
Rfam family: Bacterial small subunit ribosomal RNA
Source: RNAcentral